AGCAAGACUCCGUCUAAAAAAAGAAAAAAAAAGAGGAUAGGAUUAGGGUGAGGGAUGAGAAAUUAUUUAAUGAGUACGAUGUACACUACUACACUCAAAGCCCAGACAUCACCACUGAGCAAUCAAUCCAUUUGACAAAACUGCACACCUGCACUUGUACCCCUUAAAUUUAUAUACAAACAAAAACAAAGGCAAAUCAAAAAUAAAAAUAAAACAAAAUGAUCUCUAAACAAUACAAACAGUAACUGAUGAACCUAGCUGCUUAUCAUGUCAGUUCCAAAAUCACACAGAGUUGAAUUUCUUUCAAAUGACCCUACAACACAGUAUUUUGAUCAUAUAUUCUCCAGUAGAGUAUAAGCUAAGGACAAAGAAAAACACAUGAAAUCUUAAAUGGUACUCGGUAGUUUUAUUGUUAAUAAUGAUGCUGGUAUUAUUAUUUUGAAACUCAUGUCCAUUUCUCAGCUGCCAUUUGAUAUUAAUUUUUUUUUUUUUUGAGGUGGAAUUUCACUAUCACUCAGGCUGGAGUGCAGUGGUGUGUUCUCAGCUCACUGCAACCUCCACCUCCUGGGUUCAAGCGAUUCUUCUGCUUUAGACUCCCAAGUAGCUGGGACUACAGGCACGUGCCACCACACCUGGCUAAUUUUUGUAUUUUUAGAAGAGACAGGGUUUCGCCAUGUUGGCCAGGCUGGUCUCGAGCUCCUGACUUCAGGUGAUCUGCCUGCCUCAGCCUUCCAAAGUGCUGGGAUUACAGGCGCGAGCCACUGCGCCCAGCCAGUGAUUUUUAACCUUUAUCAAUCUGAUAGACAAAAAGAUCAUUUCAUUGUUUUAACUUCUUUAAUUAUGAGUAAAUCUGGCAAUAUAUUAUGAAAACAAUGACAAGAAGAACUUGAUAUAAAAUGCACAAUUCAGACGUCCUUGAAGAUCAUUUUAGAGGCAGCAUGAAGUGGGGGGUGGCACUGGUGAUGGGGGCUGGGUGUGGAGAAAACCAGCCAAAGGAGGACUCAUGGGAUCCUGGAGCUUUUGACUGGGGUUCACUUGGAGCCCAUACUCAGGCUGGUUCUGACAGCAGCACCUGCCAGGCCUCAGCUUAGGGGCACAAUGUGGGACACAUGGACUGGGGGUGUGGUCCCAGAGCCUAAGAGGCACCAACAGAGAGGUCUCCGCAGAGACUCAUCUGUGCCCCCCACCCACCACCCCGGGACAGGCCAAGCCAGCGUCUGGCCAGGAACUGCUUUUGCACAAGGAGCCAGAAGUAGUUUGCCCCGAUAAAUGGGGGCCUGGACUCACGCAAACCAUUGCACCAUGGAUGGCCAGAGAAACUCAGAGAACCUUCCUGUGCUUGUUAACAUACUCUCUCACGUCCUCUGCAGCCUCUGCCAAGCCAAGCAGCCAGCUCCUAGGACUCCCCUCCCUCCACCUGAGGCUCCUUGUCCUCCCUUCCUCAGGAGUCUCCAGCCUCCCGGGACUUCCCCUCCCCGCUGCCCACUCCAGCAGAGGCUGCCAACUGCCUGGGAGAGAGAAGUGGGCUUCCUGGGGCCACCUCCCCAACUUUGGAGUGUUUGGAAGGUGAUGGAGCGACCACUAGGAGGCAGUGUGGACAGGUCUCUGUAGGACUGCUCAGGCAGACACCUUUGCAGGGACCUCCCAGGUCGGGAGCCCUCCACACUUUUCCCAUGGGAGCUUCUCCCUCCACCCCGAGUCACUACUAUCUGCUUUCCUAGAAGGCACUUCUUUACUUCUAAUUCUUCUCCACUGCCCAGAAUAAUGCUUCCAGUGAAAUGAGUCGGCCACAUGAGGUCACAAAGCCCCUACUCUGUUCAGCACCUGGGCUCCUGGUUUGUUAAGGCAAACCCCCAUCUCUGGCUUCUCCUGGAACCUCACCUGGGAAAGAAAGAGGCAGCCCCGGAGCUGGAAGCUGCUUCAGGGCUCACCCGGAACAGCAGACUCAACCUGGACCCAUCCAGGCAUCUCCUGGGAGUUUCACCCAAUUGCUUCUGCCUGGCACCAGCUCAGAGGUUCUGACAGAAUUGGCCUGGGGUGAGACCUGGCAUCCAUGGGAUUUUUACAAGCUUCCAGGUGAUUCUACAGGGAAGCCAAGCCUUCCAGGCCCCGGUGGGAUGAGACUUCCCUGCCCCCACGGUUGAGAGGAGCCAUGGGCUUAUUCUAGCCAAUGAAUGGUGGAUGGACGUGACUCGUGUCUCUUCCAGGCUGGAGCAUUUAAUUGUCCAGGUGAGAUACUCAGGGACUCGUCCCUCCAGAGCUGAGAAUGGCCAUGUUUCCAGAGGGUCUGCAGGAGCAACCUGAGUCUCAGAGCACAGCCACCAGCAGACCUGCUGCACGCAUGUGGCGGGGGAAAGAAAGAAAGCCAGCUGUCUGCAGCCACUGAGAGUUUGGGGUGGUUGUUUCUCAUGACAAAACCAGCUCACCCUGACUUAUACAAAGUCUUUGAGUUAUAUAGAUGGAGAAUGAGGCUCUUGGGUCCCUCUAUUCUCACAAAGCAAUAGCCUAGCUAAAUCCAUCUAACUAGGGAGCAGAAAAGGGGAUGUGCUGGCUUGCACACCCUAGACAGUUGUUCAAGAAGUCAGGACACCAGGCCUGGAGUGAUACUUCAGCCAUCCUUCUAGGUGAGGGUCUUGAGGCCACACAGACAGAAGUGGCAGAGAUGGGACACACAUUCGUCUUCUCACUCACAGUCUGGCACUGAGCUGUGGGCUGCUGGGACACCAUGCCCCCAUACGAGUAGCCUUCCCACUCCUUACCUUGAAGGAAAAGUGUUUUUUGGACAAAUACCUGAUGGAAACAUUACAUGGGCCUUGGAAUCUGUUAGAUCUAGCUUCCUGAAACUCUUGCUAGCUGUGUGACAAUAUACAAGUUUCUUAACCUCUCUGAGCCUCAGUGCUCUAAUUACACUCCCCUCAUAGAGUUUCUAAGAGCAUCCUGGGGCUGGCACGUGUCAACGCACCCAGUAUUUGAUAGAGUUUGUUAAACGUUGGUUAUCCUCUCUCCCUAUCGCACCUCAAAUGGUAAGGGCUGCCUGCCAGCUUCCAUAUCCCCAGCAGUGCCCUGAGUUGUUCAGAUGUUCAUCCAUCUCCCACAGAACUCAGGUUCCUUUGGAGGAAGCCACAUCAAGUCCUGCUCCAAGCUUAAGCCAGUCAGCACAUUCCAUGCUCUGCCCCAUUGCCAGGGUUCAGGAGUAUGCUCGUGAUCUAAGCACCCCCACUCCCAGAUACAGCUCAAGAUUCUUGCUUGGACUUCUGGGCACUCAGGCUCCUCCGAGAGGGAAUCAAACUUACUUCUCUCCAUGUCCUUUCCUCUAGGAGAUGCGUCUUUCAUAAAACUCUCAUCAACACUGUUCAGACAUGUCCCACCCCAGCAGGGGACAGCCUGGGCUCAAGCUGGGAUCCCUACUUUAUUUAUUUUCUGCUAAUUAAACUUCCUAAUAUACUCCACACUAAGUGUGCUUGCAAGGCAGGGGGUGUGGGAUAAGCGGCCCUGCCUGGCUGGGAGAGGGGGCAGCUCCCUGCUGUACUAUGUAUUAAUAAAGAGACACAUGCAUGGCAGGGCUUGUCUGGGCCUUGGUGGCAGCUUAGGACAGAAGGCACGUGACAGUCAGGGGUUCAAACAACCCAGGGAGAACACUGCUUCAGGGAAGACAGCUCAGCAUCUUCCUGGCAAAGAUAAUGACAUUGAUAAUACUCUCCAAAGAAUUUCAGGAUUUUGAGCAAUCAGAAAAGCAACACAGAAAUUCAUGUCAUCAAAACGAUAUGGCUCUAUUGGACACUUAAGACAUUUAUUGGAGGCUCAACAACAUAAUCCUGCUGGUUGGUUUUACUUCAUUGAUUUUCCGUUGUGUCUGAUUACAUUGCUAAUGCUGAUGGUGGAUGAGCUACGGCUCUUUUCCUGCCUGUCCUGAGGUUUAUCCACCAAUGUUUCAGUUCUGUUUUAAGAUAUUGUCCUAAGCCCCCAGCAUCGCAUGCAUGCUGUUUUUUUGUUUUGUUUUGUUUUGUUUUUUACAAAGAGUUCAUAGCCCGUGGAAGACUCUCCUCCAUCACACACUUAGGUUCCCUCCACACCAGGCCUGGAAGGAGUCUAGCUUCUGGGGACUGUACAUAUGCUGUGGACCAUGCAGAACCUGGAGAGGCGGUGACCCCUUCUAGAAGUGAUCUGCCUGAAUCCUUCCCUCUGGAGGAGGCAUUUAUUAAAUGCCAGGUUCCUGAAAGGCUCUGAGAUGGGCACUCCCUCUCCUGAGUCGUCCCUUCCAUUACUGCUUUCCUAUUUCUGGCCAGGGUUCCCUGGCCCCUCCUCCCUGCUCCCAUGGGACCCCAGUUCAUCCCCAUCUUUGCUCAAUUGCCCUGCACUGUAGUAAUCCAUUGGCACUCUUGUCUUCUCCAGGAGAAAUAGUUGGAGGAGAAGUUUAUAGGGUUUCCUGGGCCAGGGCUGGUCUACAGUCACUGGACAGCAGGAAACGACCCUUCGGGGCCUAGGAGGGCCAAGGCUGGUGGGCAGGUACAGGGGGAGCCAGCACUGCUGUCCACCACUGUGCAGCCUGGAGGCUGUUUCCCAUGACCCUGCUGAUGGGACCCAAGGCACCCCAGGCCACCCACUCCCCUGCCCCCAGCAGGGUGUCAGCUCCCCGGCUUCCCUGCAUGCCUGCCUGACAUGGACAGUGCACCUUCGGGCCACACUUGCCCUGCUAGCGAGCCUCCAGUGAACUGGGAAUUCCACAGAGUGUAGAGGACUCGCCCCAGCACUGUGCUGAGAGGCUUCACCAAACUGUAGCCUGGCUUCCACCUGCACUAAGCUGCAUCCCCAGAGGCGACCCCAGCCCUGGCUGAGUCUUGGCUCAAGACUUUGCAAUGCAGCCAAAUCACAAAAUGCACCUCGUCCAGCCCACCCCGCUAAACCAUUUUCAGUAGUUCUCCCCUCACCGUUCUGGAACUUUCCAUUUCCACGUGGCCCCCACGUUCUGUUUUCAUUUCUCCUUCAGUCCCUUUUUGUUCCCUUUCUGUUCUCUCUUUGAAGACCUCAGUCACCGUUUUCUGAGUUGGGGUUGAGCUUGGUCGGUACUGGAAUCUCUUUCCGCUGCUGCAGGAGUCUGAAGGAAUCAGUCUUGCCGCCUGUAACACAUGUCCAGCGCUGCUUUUUCUCUGAUGAGUGUCUUAGUCAGUUUGGGCUGUUAAAACAAAUGGCUUAGGCAACACACGUUUCUGUCUCACAGUUCUGGAAGCUGGAAGUCUGAGAUCAAGGUGUUGGCAGAUUCGGUACCCGGUGAGGACCUGCUUCCUGGUUCGCGGGUAGAACACUUCUUGCUGUGUCCUCACAAGGUGCAGAGAGAGAGGGGGGUCUGGUGUCUCUUCCUGUAAGGGCACUGAUCCCAUCAUGGGGGCCUUACAAUCGCGACCUCAUCUAAACCUCCCGAAACCUCAUCUAAAUCUCACCUCCAUACUAUCACAUUGGGGAUUAAGGCUUUAACAUGUGGAUUUCAGGGGACAAAGGACAAAAGCAUUCAGUCCAUGGCACAUGCUCAGUGCCUCGACUCUUGCAAGUGCCACACCACAGCCUCUCUGGGGCUGUGUCCUGGAGGCGUGUGCCAUGGGCCCUGUGUGCCAUGGGCAAGGCGCACAGCAUCCUCCCGGCCACCCCACCAGCGAGUGAGCUCCUGGCACCCUGGCUCUCUCUGGUCACCCAUCUACCAGUCUUGGUGCUCCUGUGCACUAGAGGACCAGCUGCCUGGGGACUGUGGGCCAACUGUGGCCCCGGCCACCCACGAACUUCCCCUCCGGCCAGUGGCUGCAAUCACAUCUUCUCUAAAGACGUCUGAAGCCCAGCCUUGGGGAGCCGAGUUGGUCCUUCCCUGGGUACUGAGCCCUAGGGAACCCUUGAGAGUUCUCUUUGUAUCUUUGUAGUUUCUUCCUCACCACUUAAUCAUUUCCUUACAGGAAACUUCCUGUGUUCAAGUGACUGUAUGGUUUCUGCCUCCAGCUUCAUUUGUGGGUGCCAUAAGAGAGGCAAGCAUGGAGCACUAGGCGCAGGGGAUGGGCAACUGGCAAGCGGGGAGAUGCAUGCAGCGCACUUAGUGCCUGGUACAUACCAAGUCCUUUUAGUCUGGAUUUCAUUAUUUUUAAAUGGGUAUUGCUAUUUUUAAAAGAAUAGUUACAAAUAUUUAUUGUGUGUUUUGAAAUAAGUGGGUCAAGAUCAAUAAGAUAUUGUUGAUCAAUUGAUCAAUAAGAUAUCUUUUAUUCUUAAAAAUCAUAUUCUUCUGGUUCAGUGGGGAAGAGACUGCCGACCUGUAUUUACAGCAUUAUGUGAUAAGUGUUCUCCUUUUCAGGUAUGUAUUAGUCUGUUCUCAUGCUGUCAAUAAAGACAUACCUGAGACUGGGUAAUUUAUAAAGGAAAGAUGCUUAAUUGACUCACAAUUCCUCAUGGCUGAGGAGGCCUCAGGAAACUUACAAUCAUGGCAGAAAAGGAAGCAAGCAUAUCCUUCUUCGCAUGAUGGCAGGAAGGAGAAAUACAGAGCAAAGUGGGGAAAGCCCCUUAUAAAACCAUCAGAUCUUGUGAGAACGCAAUCACUAUCAAGAGAACAGCAUGGAGGUAAUUACCCACCGGCUCCCUCCCAUGACGCAUGGGGAUUAUGGGAACUAUAGUUCAAGAUGAGAUUUGAGUGGGGACACAGGCAAACCAUAUCAAGGUGACUCCUGCAAGCACCUACCUCCACCCCUCCUUCAUCCUUGCCCUCAUUCUACAAUGAUUUGGUGAAAUCUGGUCCCUGCCUCAGUUUUACAGCCUCCCCAUGACUCUGGUUACUUCCUGAUUAGCUUAAACGAAACCUAACUAGGUUGCCCUAGGAAAGCAUUUCUGUUCCUGACACCCCCCAUCUGCCUGCUGCUUCCGUUCCACCUGUAUGUGUCUGGGCACAUCCCUGCAUCCCUUUGCUGGCUUCUAGCCUACUCACUUCAAGCAUUUAUCCCAUGAGUUUCAUAAAAUCGUAGAAGAAAAGGGCUUGAGGCAGUGGUGGGGAAAUGAUAGGAAAGUCAUUUCUGGAUGCAUUCUGCCAUCCUGCAGAUCCCUAAACCACCUCUCCCUCUCCAUUCCCUCCCUCCAGAGAACAGCUUCUCCUUGUCUCCUGUGGAAUAGUUCCGCCCACAUUCAUGGGCCCUUCCUGUACCAAAACUGUACAGGUCUCUCUUGCUUACCAAACACUUGGCAAACAAAUGUGCCGUCCUUGGAAAAAUUCUGUUGAAUAAAAUUUUCUCUCUUUGAUCCA
This is an RNA transcript of Homo sapiens (human), 7264 nucleotides long. It is a transcript of the gene named salivary glue protein Sgs-3-like, with no coding region annotated. The record is from RefSeq and is a predicted model, not a curated record. The transcript is spliced from 4 exons. NCBI's taxonomy places the organism in Eukaryota, Metazoa, Chordata, Mammalia, Primates, Hominidae.